RNAcentral lists this ribosomal RNA (319 nucleotides) under uncultured Chloroflexota bacterium. Its description in RNAcentral is "bacterial SSU rRNA". It matches the Rfam family "Bacterial small subunit ribosomal RNA", at positions 28 to 351 of the family's 1533-position model. The record is from RNAcentral. Lineage: Bacteria; Bacillati; Chloroflexota.
GAUGAACGCUGGCGGCGUGCUUAAUACAUGCAAGUCGAACGGAGAGUUAGCAAUAGCUCUGAGUGGCGAACGGGUGAGUAACGCGUUGGUGACCUGUCCCGAAGAUGGGGAUAACAGUUCGAAAGGACUGCUAAUACCCGAUGUGGUUGUGGAGGUUAGAGGCUCUGCAACUGAAGGAGCAAUCCGCUUUGGGAGGGGCCUGCGUCCCAUCAGCUAGUUGGUAGGGUAAAAGCCUACCAAGGCGUAGACGGGUAGGGGACCUGAGAGGGUGAUCCCCCACACUGGCACUGAAACACGGGCCAGACACCUACGGGAGCUG